UGCUCUUCUACCUCCAAUGACAGGGCUGC
This 29-nucleotide non-coding RNA is filed under the name Rattus norvegicus (Norway rat). Lineage: Eukaryota; Metazoa; Chordata; Mammalia; Rodentia; Muridae. The record is from RNAcentral.